Long non-coding RNA from Ahaetulla prasina, 3297 nucleotides. RefSeq lists it as uncharacterized. The record is from RefSeq and is a predicted model, not a curated record. The transcript has 3 exons. Lineage: Eukaryota; Metazoa; Chordata; Lepidosauria; Squamata; Colubridae.
CCCACUUCUGAACUGCCUGGCAGGCGGUGACUGAGGAAAGGAAGAAGACGACGACGAGAAGGCGGCGCCCGCCUGCCUUUUCCACCCUCUUGCCACACACCAGGGCCAACGAAGUGCCCAAAAAGCGCGGCUUCCGUCUUCUUUCUGGAAUUCUCAGUCCUGUCCGCGGGAUCUCUUGGCGUUCGUUUGUUGGAAACAAGAAGCAAUGAAUAUGAUGGGACUUACUCCUAAGUAAAAGACUUGCUGCCUCAGAACUGAAAUGUCAAUAGGAUCUUUACUUUUUGUUUCUCCUUCCACUGCUGCUCUUGCUGCUCAUAACAUCAUUUUAUUAUCAAAGAAUGGUAGAGAAAAGUGGAGCAAAGCUAAUAGUCUUUCUCUUGUAGUCUCUCUGGAUGUAGUCUUUUCAUAAGUGUCUUGAACUUGACCUCUUUUGAACGACACAAAGGUCCAACACACAUUUUAAAAAGUUAUAUUUAAAUUUUAAUAUUUUUUUUUAAUUCUGCAAAGCUAUUUAAUGACACACUCUCAAAACACAGAGCAUAAAUCUUUUAGGAUGGUCAUAGAAUAGAAACUGAUGGACAAAGCAAAGAAGCUUAGCAAAUGCCCUAAAGCAGCUUUCUUUCUUUUACAUAGAUACCUACUACAGAUGAAUGUUCACAUGAUUUUUAAAAAGCUUUAUUAUGAUUUAAUCACCAUGGUGCUGAUACUAAAGAUAUAAUUUAGUAAAGAAUGGAGUUUGCUUUUUUAAUACCCCACCCCUCAUUAUAAAAAUGUUCUUUGUAGUGAGGCAAUGGGGGCAUUAGAAAGAUUUACAGUAACAAUAUAAGUGACUAUAAUGAACUUGGGAACAAGGGAGUAUUGUUAUGAUAGAGAUCUUCUAGCAUUUCUAUCAGCACAAAUAUUGAGGGACACAGUCUCCUUUCUGUGUAUCUGUAUAUUAAUAUUAACAUGAGCAGUAAUUACAGGUACUUGGGAUAAAGUUUAUUUAUGAGAACAUAAUGCUUAAAGGUAAGAGUUGUAAAAAUUAAAGAUACCUACCCGUAACAAAACCAUUAUCAACCAUGUUUUUUCUGCAAUAUUUCAAUUAUGUUUAUUCAGAAUAUCUCAGCAUCUUUAUAUUCUACUAAUAUUAAUAUUAAUUGUGCAAACUUUAUUUCAGCUCCUAAUAUAGCUGAGCUUGGGGACUUGUCCUUAUUUAUUGAAGGACAGAACUGGCCACAUCAUCAUUUGUGUAACUAAAAACUCCUCAAAUCCUGCUGGUACAGCAUUGAUCUUUUACAAGCCUUAUUAAAUGAAAAGUUGGUAACCUACAUAGACGGUUUUGUUUCCUACCUUCCAAGUUUUACCUUAAAAUUUUUACAUCUUGCUAUUUAUCUUUUUAAAUAGAAGAGCCUGUUCCUACAUGUCAGUGAUUCAGUGCAACUAUUACCAAAAUCAUCACAAAGCUUUGAUCAAAGAAGAGAUAAGCAAGGAUAGUAUCCAGAUAGCAUUUUUACAACACUACAUCAGACUUUUCCAGUUAAUACUCUGAGUUUAGAUAGCCUCAGAAAAUACCAUAAGAUAAAAUGGGUUUUGUUCUAUUUGUCUGCCCCAUUCUUACCUGUCAAUUGUUUCAGACAAGCAAAUGAUGGAAACAACUGUGAUAGAAUUUGACCAGUUUUUAAGAGUUGUCAUGGCACAUGUGACCAGAACUUGUGUAAAAUUUUUAAAGGAUGAAUUCACCAUGAACACACUGCAAUCACACUGGAAGUAUAGCAGUCUGGUCUCCAUUGAAAGUAAUAGGAAAUAAUGAGUAUUGGACCUAAAAGUUACCAGGCCACAUACAUAGAAAGCAGCUAACCACUACCUGUGGCUCAUGGGCUAUGAGUUGGUCAAACGUCUUACAAAGAUGAGCACAAUUUGGAAGUAGUUGAAAUAGAAAACAAACAUUCAAAGAAACAUGUAAAACAUUUUACUACAUGUCAGCCUUUGUUACUGAUAAGAAUAUUAUUAUUUUAAAUAGACUGUCCUCUCAUAUAGUUUGCAUAGUAAUUAGUAGUUGGCUUUAACCCUUAACAGUUCAGCUAGUUUGUAUUUGUAAAAUAAGGUUUCAUGCUGGAAACAAAAAUAAGAACUUCCAUAGGUUUUCAUAUUUCAUAUUCUUCAUAUUUUCAUAUGGGUUAGAUCAGCUUUUGUAAAUCUCUGCCAAGAUAUUUUCAAAAUUAUAACCAACAUUAUACAGUAUUUAAAGGUAUCAACAUGUAUUUGCAAAUCUGGGUUUACCAACAUUUUCUCCAAAUGUCCCUUUUUUCCGCUGACAUAUUGUCACAUCAAGAGUUGUUUUCAAGUCUAGUUUGUCAAAGAACCAAGCAAACAAACAACCUUUGAAAGGAUUUUUUGCAAAGAAAGAAGUAAUAAACACAGUGUUAAAUAUUGUUCUCUUGCUUAUACUUUUUUCCUUUUAGUUGCUAUCAUAGUGCCUACAUUAGUCCAGAAAGUCAAACAGGGCAAUGUGAAAUUUAUAUUGUUCUUUUGUAAUAAACAUACAGUUCCAUUUUAAGUUUGUAUGAAUGUACCAUACUGAUAUUGUCAAGUGAAAGAACAUCUAUCUUAAAUCUUUGAGCAGUAGAUACCUUUGGAGAUAAAAAGUAAAAUUAUAAUGUGUUAAUGACAAUGCUAACAUUGUGACUCAUACACUAAACCGAGACCCCUAUCAAUUUUGUGUGUUAGUAAUUAUACUUGUCAAUGCUAUUUCUUCUAAACUCUGCUUUCCUAUAUUCCGCAUUCUGUGACCAUGAAUAUACCAGUCCUCACUUUUUGAGAAUUCAUCUAAGGUUUUUCUCUUAAAAUUAUUUUAAUUUUCUGAAAGUAAUGAUUCUUUCAGAUUGCUAUUAGCCAUCUUUUAUAGAUGGGUGGUGUGAAGAAGGAAUUAAUUUCGAAAUUAUCUUUUUUCACUUAUGUAACAGAACUAAUUGUUGAGGUUUUGGACUGGAACUGAAUAAAUUCAAGAUUAGGUCUUCAUUUGAGCAAGGAAUCCUGGAUAACUUGAAAUAGGUUAAGAUAUAGUGAUUGACCCAACAUUAUAAGCAAAAAAGAUGUAAAAAUGAUAACCAAUAAAAUAAAUAUUAAGAUAUUAAAAAGAUUAUUGUCUUUUAUUAAUGUUUAUUUUAGAUACUCUUAUGCUACCUCUCAAAGUGAUAUGGAUAAAUAAAUGCAUACAAAUAAUAUUAAACAAAUGAAAACAAGCUAUGAUACUCCAUAAUAUCAAACCCACGAUGCUCACUUUUCUUCCAUCAAAAAUUCCUGUUUAAUCUGGAU